This 253-nucleotide ribosomal RNA is filed under the name uncultured bacterium. Its description in RNAcentral is "partial 16S ribosomal RNA". It matches the Rfam family "Bacterial small subunit ribosomal RNA", at positions 524 to 776 of the family's 1533-position model. The record is from RNAcentral.
UACGGGGGGUGCAAGCGUUGUUCGGAAUUAUUGGGCGUAAAGAGCGUGUAGGCGGCUUGGCAAGUCAGAUGUGAAAGCCCUGGGCUUAACCCAGGAAGUGCAUUUGAAACUGCUUAGCUAGAGUAGGGGAGAGGGAAGUGGAAUUCCUGGUGUAGAGGUGAAAUUCGUAGAUAUCAGGAGGAACACCGGUGGCGAAGGCGACUUCCUGGCCCUAUACUGACGCUGAGACGCGAGAGCGUGGGUAGCAAACAGG